GGUUAAGCGACUAAGCGUACACGGUGGAUGCCCUGGCAGUCAGAGGCGAUGAAGGACGUGCUAAUCUGCGAAAAGCGUCGGUAAGGUGAUAUGAACCGUUAUAACCGGCGAUGUCCGAAUGGGGAAACCCAGUGCAAUUCGUUGCACUAUCGUUAACUGAAUACAUAGGUUAACGAGGCGAACCGGGGGAACUGAAACAUCUAAGUACCCCGAGGAAAAGAAAUCAACCGAGAUUCCCCCAGUAGCGGCGAGCGAACGGGGAGCAGCCCAGAGUCUGAAUCAGCUUGUGUGUUAGUGGAACGGUCUGGAAAGUCCGACGGUACAGGGUGAUAGUCCCGUACACCAAAAUGCACAGGUUGUGAACUCGAAGAGUAGGGCGGGACACGUGGUAUCCUGUCUGAAUAUGGGGGGACCAUCCUCCAAGGCUAAAUACUCCUGACUGACCGAUAGUGAACCAGUACCGUGAGGGAAAGGCGAAAAGAACCCCGGCGAGGGGAGUGAAAAAGAACCUGAAACCGUGUACGUACAAGCAGUGGGAGCACCUUCGGGUGUGACUGCGUACCUUUUGUAUAAUGGGUCAGCGACUUAUAUUCUGUAGCAAGGUUAACCGUAUAGGGGAGCCGCAGGGAAACCGAGUCUUAACUGGGCGUUAAGUUGCAGGGUAUAGACCCGAAACCCGGUGAUCUAGCCAUGGGCAGGUUGAAGGUUGGGUAACACUAACUGGAGGACCGAACCGACUAAUGUUGAAAAAUUAGCGGAUGACUUGUGGCUGGGGGUGAAAGGCCAAUCAAACCGGGAGAUAGCUGGUUCUCCCCGAAAGCUAUUUAGGUAGCGCCUCGUGAAUUCAUCUUCGGGGGUAGAGCACUGUUUCGGCUAGGGGGUCAUCCCGACUUACCAACCCGAUGCAAACUACGAAUACCGAAGAAUGUUAUCACGGGAGACACACGGCGGGUGCUAACGUCCGUCGUGAAGAGGGAAACAACCCAGACCGCCAGCUAAGGUCCCAAAGUCAUGGUUAAGUGGGAAACGAUGUGGGAAGGCACAGACAGCCAGGAUGUUGGCUUAGAAGCAGCCAUCAUUUAAAGAAAGCGUAAUAGCUCACUGGUCGAGUCGGCCUGCGCGGAAGAUGUAACGGGGCUAAACCAUGCACCGAAGCUGCGGCAGCGACACUAUGUGUUGUUGGGUAGGGGAGCGUUCUGUAAGCCUGCGAAGGUGACCUGUGAGGGUUGCUGGAGGUAUCAGAAGUGCGAAUGCUGACAUAAGUAACGAUAAAGCGGGUGAAAAGCCCGCUCGCCGGAAGACCAAGGGUUCCUGUCCAACGUUAAUCGGGGCAGGGUGAGUCGACCCCUAAGGCGAGGCCGAAAGGCGUAGUCGAUGGGAAACAGGUUAAUAUUCCUGUACUUGGUGUUACUGCGAAGGGGGGACGGAGAAGGCUAUGUUAGCCGGGCGACGGUUGUCCCGGUUUAAGCAUGUAGGCUGGUUGUCCAGGCAAAUCCGGAUAAUCAAGGCUGAGGUGUGAUGACGAGGCACUACGGUGCUGAAGUAACAAAUGCCCUGCUUCCAGGAAAAGCCUCUAAGCAUCAGGUAACAUCAAAUCGUACCCCAAACCGACACAGGUGGUCAGGUAGAGAAUACCAAGGCGCUUGAGAGAACUCGGGUGAAGGAACUAGGCAAAAUGGUGCCGUAACUUCGGGAGAAGGCACGCUGGUGUGUAGGUGAAGUCCCUGCGGAUGGAGCUGAGACCAGUCGAAGAUACCAGCUGGCUGCAACUGUUUAUUAAAAACACAGCACUGUGCAAACACGAAAGUGGACGUAUACGGUGUGACGCCUGCCCGGUGCCGGAAGGUUAAUUGAUGGGGUUAUCCGUAAGGAGAAGCUCUUGAUCGAAGCCCCGGUAAACGGCGGCCGUAACUAUAACGGUCCUAAGGUAGCGAAAUUCCUUGUCGGGUAAGUUCCGACCUGCACGAAUGGCGUAAUGAUGGCCAGGCUGUCUCCACCCGAGACUCAGUGAAAUUGAACUCGCUGUGAAGAUGCAGUGUACCCGCGGCAAGACGGAAAGACCCCGUGAACCUUUACUAUAGCUUGACACUGAACAUUGAGCCUUGAUGUGUAGGAUAGGUGGGAGGCUUUGAAGCGUGGACGCCAGUCUGCGUGGAGCCAACCUUGAAAUACCACCCUUUAAUGUUUGAUGUUCUAACGUUGGCCCCUUAUCGGGGUUGCGGACAGUGUCUGGUGGGUAGUUUGACUGGGGCGGUCUCCUCCCAAAGCGUAACGGAGGAGCACGAAGGUUAGCUAAUCCUGGUCGGACAUCAGGAGGUUAGUGCAAUGGCAUAAGCUAGCUUGACUGCGAGCGUGACGGCGCGAGCAGGUGCGAAAGCAGGUCAUAGUGAUCCGGUGGUUCUGAAUGGAAGGGCCAUCGCUCAACGGAUAAAAGGUACUCCGGGGAUAACAGGCUGAUACCGCCCAAGAGUUCAUAUCGACGGCGGUGUUUGGCACCUCGAUGUCGGCUCAUCACAUCCUGGGGCUGAAGUAGGUCCCAAGGGUAUGGCUGUUCGCCAUUUAAAGUGGUACGCGAGCUGGGUUUAGAACGUCGUGAGACAGUUCGGUCCCUAUCUGCCGUGGGCGCUGGAGAAUUGAGGGGGGCUGCUCCUAGUACGAGAGGACCGGAGUGGACGCAUCACUGGUGUUCGGGUUGUCAUGCCAAUGGCACUGCCCGGUAGCUAAAUGCGGAAGAGAUAAGUGCUGAAAGCAUCUAAGCACGAAACUUGCCCCGAGAUGAGUUCUCCCUGAGACUUUAAGUCUCCUGAAGGAACGUUAAAGACGAUGACGUUGAUAGGCCGGGUGUGUAAGCGCAGCGAUGCGUUGAGCUAACCGGUACUAAUGAACCGUGAGGCUUAACCUU
This 2902-nucleotide ribosomal RNA is filed under the name Klebsiella pneumoniae. RNAcentral describes it as "23S ribosomal RNA". It matches the Rfam family "Bacterial large subunit ribosomal RNA". The record is from RNAcentral. Lineage: Bacteria; Pseudomonadati; Pseudomonadota; Gammaproteobacteria; Enterobacterales; Enterobacteriaceae. RNAcentral also lists the same sequence under 2 other names.